Molecule: ribosomal RNA, 530 nt
Filed under: uncultured bacterium
Lineage: Bacteria
Description: partial 16S ribosomal RNA
Source: RNAcentral
CACGUAGUUAGCCGGAGCUUUCUAAUAAAGUACCGUCACUCCUAAGUCAUUUCCUACUUAGGUCGUUCUUCCUUUACAACAGAAGUUUACAAUCCAUAGGACCUUCUUCCUUCACGCGGCAUCGCUCGUUCAGGGUUUCCCCCAUUGACGAAUAUUCCUAACUGCUGUCUCCCGUAGGAGUCUGGGCCGUGUCUCAGUCCCAGUGUGGCCGAUCACCCUCUCAGGUCGGCUACGCAUCGUUGACUUGGUAGGCCUUUACCCCACCAACUAUCUAAUACGCCGCAGGCCCAUCUUAAAGUGAAGCUUGAUUGCUCCUUUUAAAUAUGAAAAAACGUAUCUUUCAUAUUCUCAUCCGGUAUUAGCAGUCGUUUCAACUGUUAUCCCAGUCUCUAGGCAGGUUACCCACGUGUUACUCUACCCUUCGCGCCACUAGAUGGAUAUUCCUCUUCCGCUUCCGUGCAAGCACUUCCACUUCAGUCGGCCAUCCUCGUUCGACUUGCUAGUGUCUUAGGCUAGUCGCCGUCCGACGG